CGUCCCUGGAAAUAGCUCCCGCAUGAGACCGUACCCCAAACCGACACAGGUGGACUGGUAGAGUAUACCAAGGCGCUUGAGAGAACUAUGCUGAAGGAACUCGGCAAAUUGCUCCCGUAAGUUCGCGAGAAGGGAGCCUGGCAUCAGGCAACUGGUGUCCAGGGGCACAGACCAGGGGGUGGCGACUGUUUAUUAAAAACACAGGGCUCUGCGAAGUCGCAAGACGACGUAUAGGGUCUGACGCCUGCCCGGUGCCGGAAGGUUAAAAGGAGGGGUGAGAGCUCCGAAUUGAAGCCCCGGUAAACGGCGGCCGUAACAAUAACGGUCCUAAGGUAGCGAAAUUCCUUGUCGGGUAAGUUCCGACCUGCACGAAUGGCGUAACGACUUCCCCACUGUCUCCAACAGAGACUCAGCGAAAUUGAAUUCUCCGUGAAGAUGCGGAGUACCCGCGGUCAGACGGAAAGACCCCGUGCACCUUUACUACAGCUUCGCAGUGGCGUUAGUGGCGAUAUGUGUAGGAUAGGCGGGAGGCUUUGAAACCCAGGCGCCAGUCUGGGUGGAGCCAUCCUUGAAAUACCGCCCUUAUCCUCAUUGACGUCUAACCGCGGUCCAUGAACCUGGAUCCGGGACCCUGCGUGGCGGGUAGUUUGACUGGGGCGGUCGCCUCCCAAAGAGUAACGGAGGCGCGCGAAGGUUGGCUCAGAGCGGUCGGAAAUCG
This 718-nucleotide ribosomal RNA is filed under the name Prorocentrum minimum. Its description in RNAcentral is "partial Bacterial large subunit ribosomal RNA". It matches the Rfam family "Bacterial large subunit ribosomal RNA", at positions 1604 to 2340 of the family's 2925-position model. The record is from RNAcentral. Lineage: Eukaryota; Dinophyceae; Prorocentrales; Prorocentraceae.